AGUGAACGCUGGCGGUAGGCCUAACACAUGCAAGUCGAACGGCAGCACAGUAAGAGCUUGCUCUUACGGGUGGCGAGUGGCGGACGGGUGAGGAAUACAUCGGAAUCUACUUUUUCGUGGGGGAUAACGUAGGGAAACUUACGCUAAUACCGCAUACGACCUACGGGUGAAAGCAGGGGAUCUUCGGACCUUGCGCGAUUGAAUGAGCCGAUGUCGGAUUAGCUAGUUGGCGGGGUAAAGGCCCACCAAGGCGACGAUCCGUAGCUGGUCUGAGAGGAUGAUCAACCACACUGGAACUGAGACACGGUCCAGACUCCUACGGGAGGCAGCAGUGGGGAAUAUUGGACAAUGGGCGCAAGCCUGAUCCAGCCAUACCGCGUGGGUGAAGAAGGUCUUCGGGUUGUAAAGCCCUUUUGUUGGGAAAGAAAAGCAGCAGGUUAAUACCCCGCUGUUCUGACGGUACCCAAAGAAUAAGCACCGGCUAACUUCGUG
Molecule: ribosomal RNA, 492 nt
Filed under: uncultured bacterium
Lineage: Bacteria
Description: partial 16S ribosomal RNA
Rfam family: Bacterial small subunit ribosomal RNA
Source: RNAcentral